GGCAUGGGGCUGCUACCAUGCAGUCGAGCGAUGAAGCUCCUUCGGGAGUGGAUUAGCGGCGGACGGGUGAGUAACACGUGGGUAACCUGCCUCAUAGAGGGGAAUAGCCUCCCGAAAGGGAGAUUAAUACCGCAUAAAGUAUGAAGGUCGCAUGACUUUUAUACCAAAGGAGCAAUCCGCUAUGAGAUGGACCCGCGGCGCAUUAGCUAGUUGGUGAGGUAAAGGCUCACCAAGGCGACGAUGCGUAGCCGACCUGAGAGGGUGAUCGGCCACAUUGGAACUGAGACACGGUCCAGACUCCUACGGGAGGCAGCAGUGGGGAAUAUUGCGCAAUGGGGGAAACCCUGACGCAGCAACGCCGCGUGAAUGAAGAAGGCCUUAGGGUUGUAAAGUUCUGUCAUAUGGGAAGAUAAUGACGGUACCAUAUGAGGAAGCCACGGCUAACUACGUGCCAGCAGCCGCGGUAAUACGUAGGUGGCAAGCGUUGUCCGGAUUUACUGGGCGUAAAGGAUGCGUAGGCGGACAUUUAAGUCAGAUGUGAAAUACCCGAGCUCAACUUGGGUGCUGCAUUUGAAACUGGGUGUCUAGAGUGCAGGAGAGGAAAGCGGAAUUCCUAGUGUAGCGGUGAAAUGCGUAGAGAUUAGGAAGAACACCAGUGGCGAAGGCGGCUUUCUGGACUGUAACUGACGCUGAGGCAUGAAAGCGUGGGGAGCAAACAGGAUUAGAUACACUGGUGUCCACGCCGUAAACGAUGAAUACUAAGGUGUAGGAGGUAUCGACCCCUUCUGUGCCG
This 793-nucleotide ribosomal RNA is filed under the name Clostridium argentinense. Its description in RNAcentral is "bacterial SSU rRNA". It matches the Rfam family "Bacterial small subunit ribosomal RNA", at positions 41 to 848 of the family's 1533-position model. Lineage: Bacteria; Bacillati; Bacillota; Clostridia; Eubacteriales; Clostridiaceae. The record is from RNAcentral.